RNAcentral lists this transfer RNA (67 nucleotides) under Marmota monax (woodchuck). RNAcentral's name for it is "tRNA.Thr". Lineage: Eukaryota; Metazoa; Chordata; Mammalia; Rodentia; Sciuridae. The record is from RNAcentral.
GGAUGUAGAUAAGUGGUAGAGUGCUUGCCUAGUAUGCAUGAGGUCCUUGGUUCAAUCCCUAACACCG